CGAGCGAACAGACGAGGAGCUUGCUCCUCUGACGUUAGCGGCGGACGGGUGAGUAACACGUGGAUAACCUACCUAUAAGACUGGGAUAACUUCGGGAAACCGGAGCUAAUACCGGAUAAUAUAUUGAACCGUAUGGUUCAAUAGUGAAAGACGGUUUUGCUGUCACUUAUAGAUGGAUCCGCGCCGCAUUAGCUAGUUGGUAAGGUAACGGCUUACCAAGGCAACGAUGCGUAGCCGACCUGAGAGGGUGAUCGGCCACACUGGAACUGAGACACGGUCCAGACUCCUACGGGAGGCAGCAGUAGGGAAUCUUCCGCAAUGGGCGAAAGCCUGACGGAGCAACGCCGCGUGAGUGAUGAAGGUCUUCGGAUCGUAAAACUCUGUUAUUAGGGAAGAACAAAUGUGUAAGUAACUAUGCACGUCUUGACGGUACCUAAUCAGAAAGCCACGGCUAACUACGUGCCAGCAGCCGCGGUAAUACGUAGGUGGCAAGCGUUAUCCGGAAUUAUUGGGCGUAAAGCGCGCGUAGGCGGUUUUUUAAGUCUGAUGUGAAAGCCCACGGCUCAACCGUGGAGGGUCAUUGGAAACUGGAAAACUUGAGUGCAGAAGAGGAAAGUGGAAUUCCAUGUGUAGCGGUGAAAUGCGCAGAGAUAUGGAGGAACACCAGUGGCGAAGGCGACUUU
Molecule: ribosomal RNA, 683 nt
Filed under: uncultured Staphylococcus sp.
Lineage: Bacteria; Bacillati; Bacillota; Bacilli; Caryophanales; Staphylococcaceae
Description: bacterial SSU rRNA
Rfam family: Bacterial small subunit ribosomal RNA
Source: RNAcentral